Molecule: ribosomal RNA, 1331 nt
Filed under: uncultured bacterium
Lineage: Bacteria
Description: bacterial SSU rRNA
Rfam family: Bacterial small subunit ribosomal RNA
Source: RNAcentral
GACGAACGCUGGCGGCGUGCUUAACACAUGCAAGUCGAACGAAGCUUGAUUACGGAUUCUUCGGAUGAAGUAUGAUAUGACUGAGUGGCGGACGGGUGAGUAACGCGUGAGUAACCUGCCCUUCAGAGGGGGAUAGCGUUUGGAAACGAACGGUAAUACCGCAUAAUGUAUUUUGACCGCAUGAUCGAAAUACCAAAGAUUUAUCGCUGAAGGAUGGACUCGCGUCUGAUUAGGUAGUUGGUGGGGUAACGGCCUACCAAGCCGACGAUCAGUAGCCGGACUGAGAGGUUGAUCGGCCACAUUGGGACUGAGACACGGCCCAGACUCCUACGGGAGGCAGCAGUGGGGAAUAUUGCACAAUGGGCGCAAGCCUGAUGCAGCAACGCCGCGUGAAGGAAGACGGUUUUCGGAUUGUAAACUUCUGUUCUUAGUGAAGAAUAAUGACGGUAGCUAAGGAGCAAGCCACGGCUAACUACGUGCCAGCAGCCGCGGUAAUACGUAGGUGGCAAGCGUUGUCCGGAAUUACUGGGUGUAAAGGGAGCGCAGGCGGGUGAUCAAGUCAGCUGUGAAAACUACGGGCUUAACCCGUAGACUGCAGUUGAAACUGUUCAUCUUGAGUGAAGUAGAGGUUGGCGGAAUUCCGAGUGUAGCGGUGAAAUGCGUAGAUAUUCGGAGGAACACCGGUGGCGAAGGCGGCCAACUGGGCUUUAACUGACGCUGAGGCUCGAAAGUGUGGGGAGCAAACAAGAUUAGAUACCCUGGUAGUCCACACUGUAAACGACCAUUAAGGGUGUGGGGGGUCUGACCCCUUCCGUGCCGGAGCUAACGCAAUAAGCAAUCCCCCUGGGGGGUAGGACCGCAAGGUUGAAACUCAAAGGAAUUGACGGGGACCCGCACAAGCAGUGGAUUAUGUGGUUUAAUUUGAAGCAACGCGAAGAACCUUACCAGCACUUGACAUCCAAUAAACGAAAUAGAGAUAUAUUAGGUGCCCUUCGGGGAAAGUUGAGACAGGUGGUGCAUGGUUGUCGUCAGCUCGUGUCGUGAGAUGUUGGGUUAAGUCCCGCAACGAGCGCAACCCUCGCCAUUAGUUGCUACGCAAGAGCACUCUAAUGGGACCGCUACCGACAAGGUGGAGGAAGGUGGGGACGACGUCAAAUCAUCAUGCCCCUUAUGUGCUGGGCUACACACGUAAUACAAUGGCCAUCAACAGAGAGAAGCAAUACCGCGAGGUGGAGCAAAACUUCAAAAAUGGUCUCAGUUCGGACUGCAGGCUGCAACCCGCCUGCACGAAGUUGGAAUUGCUAGUAAUCGUGGAUCAGCAUGCCACGGCG